RNAcentral lists this ribosomal RNA (448 nucleotides) under uncultured bacterium. Its description in RNAcentral is "bacterial SSU rRNA". It matches the Rfam family "Bacterial small subunit ribosomal RNA", at positions 330 to 793 of the family's 1533-position model. The record is from RNAcentral.
GCCAGACUCCUACGGGAGGCAGCAGUGGGGAAUAUUGGGCAAUGGAGGAAACUCUGACCCAGCAACGCCGCGUGAAGGAUGAAGGUUUUCGGAUUGUAAACUUCUGUCGCGAGGGACGAAGAAUGACGGUACCUCGUAAGAAAGCCCCGGCUAACUACGUGCCAGCAGCCGCGGUAAUACGUAGGGGGCAAGCGUUGUUCGGAAUGACUGGGCGUAAAGGGUGUGUAGGCGGUGUAGCAAGUUAGAAGUGAAAUACCUAGAGCUUAACUCAGGUGCUGCUUCUAAAACUGCUAUACUUGAGUGCAGUAGAGGAGAGUGGAAUUCCUAGUGUAGCGGUGGAAUGCGUAGAUAUUAGGAGGAACAUCAGUGGCGAAGGCGACUUUCUGGACUGUAACUGACGCUGAGGCACGAAAGUGUGGGGAGCAAACAGGAUUAGAUACCCGCGUAA